CAAAACCUCGUUCGCUUCGUCGCGAAGAGAUAGGAAGAGAAAUUUGACUUCAGCCCCACCUCCUUUGCUCUCCUGACGCACGUACCUCCUCUCCCAGAAAUCCCACACAACCUCCUCUCCCCACUCCCCAGCUAGGUUGCUGCCGCUCCUCCGGCGCUGGCGGGCUUCCUCGGCCUUUCCUCUCUCUGCCUGCGGUGCAUCCCUGGAUCCACGGAGGUGGAUGGCAGGGGCCCUAAGGUUGAUGGUGCUGAGGAGGAGGCGGAGCGGUUCUGUUGUUGGGUUGAGCGGCGGCCGGAGCGGGUCGACCAUGGAGAUGGCCGUACGUGGCGUCGUUCUCGGGCAGAGAAGGGGAGGGGAGCGUGAGGUGAAGAGGAGGCCCAUGGGAGCAGAUCCGGCCGUCAACGGUAGGGUUGGCCAUGGAUAUGGCCAUCUGUGGCGGCGGCGUCAGGCAGAGAAGCGGAGGGAGGGCGAGAUGAAGAGAGGAUGGAGACGGAGACGGAGACGAAGAGCCCAUGGAGAAGCUCCACCGAUAUCAUCGGCGGUAAGAAGGCGACGCCCACCUCCACCUUCGUGCAGUCACCCAGGUAAAAUUUUGGAGUUAUGCUAAUCAGGAGGUGUUGCAGGAAAUUGAUAUUGGCCAUUCAGCAAAUGUAUUUUGCACAAAAUUUAUCGAGGAAGCAUUUGAUGAAAUAUAAGUUUGAGAAGCAGGAGAUGACGAGGUACAGCCUUUUCCAGUAUAUGUUUUCACUUAUCUUUCCCAGUUAUUCUUAGGCAUAUUUUAGGAGAGGUUCAUUUUUCUUUUUGAGGUUCGUCCGUUCGUGUUAUCAAUUUGUCUCGUUUAAAUGGCAUAAGGUGCAGGAAAAUUUCUAUGGAACUAGCUGCAAUUUAUUAAUGUCACUCCAAGAGGGCCAAGCAAAGGUUUGAGUGACAAUGUGCAACCCCUUUCCUCUAAUUCCAACCGUGUCAUGAAUUCUUGUGUUGCUGCUAUUCUGAAGGGCGUCAUGUUGUUAUUGUUGAUGAUUUAGUGCAAUCUAGUGGAACUCUUACAAAAUGCCAGGUUACCAUUCUGUUGCAAUCGCUGAUUGGUAUAGUCUUGUGCCAUCAUUUCAAGUUGUCGUACCAAAAACUUAAUGCCUUUCAGAAUUCAAAUUUUACCUGAGUCCACAAUUGAUAGUAUUACCAGCAGGCUUAGUCAUGUAAAGUUGAGACGUUCAAUUUCAUUCCUUCUCCAAACCUGGUAAUAGAGUCUGUGGCAUGUGAAUUUUCAUGUUGUGGGUCAAUUUGGUGUGACAUAUUUACUUCAUUGUUCAGUGAAAUGGAAGUAAUACAUUUCAAGUGUCAAUUAUGAUGCUACAUGUGACUUAUAGUUGCAUAUACUAUGUUGUUCCUUUUUGCCCCAUGAGUAUUUAUGUUCUGUUCAUUUGGCAGAAACUUUUGGCUGCUUAUGUUGUCGCAAAAGUUACUGCCCAUGUCACUCAAACUGUGUUCCUGGUCAGUCGUAUGAAUGGUUCAUGAUCGCGAGUUCUGCUGGGCCAGGUGAGCAGUUUGAUUACUUCUGGAUCACGGAUUCGUGCCCUCAGACAGUGAAAGCCAUCAGCCAACCCUCCAUUUGAGGUGUUGAGCCUUGCUAGCUCAAUUGUUGACGCCCUUCAGAUAUGAAUGUGGACUAUGAAAUGCGCUGCUCCCAUAUAGAGCUUUCAUUUCUAGCUCGAGCAAAACAAAUAAUGUGAAGAGAGUCAUCUAAUUGUGUUGAAUCUUUGCUCCAUGUUUUGUUCUGUUGCCAUCUUCCUUCUCCCGUUAUGCAUCCGUUGUUUGUUUGCUAUUUUAUUGGGCAUAUUUUCGACUGGAAGACACAAAGGAGGUUGUGUAGUGGGGAUGGAUAUCCUGGUGUUGGAAGAAGACGACGAGUAGCCAAAUACUUCUAGGUAUUAUCGUUUGGCAUGUUCCAUUAAAAUUCACAUUUGCAAAUAUAUGUGCUCAGCAGUCCUAUCCCCAACUUCAUGAUGAUGCUUCUGUUAAGUUCAUGCAGCAACACAAAUAUUGGGUUUGUACCAUGUAUUGUUUGCUUGCCUAAAAACAGAUGGUUGGUAUAUUUCUCGCAGUUUAGGAACACAGUGAAAUAAGAAAUGAUAUUUCAAACUUGAAAGCUUCUUGCGUUGGUAGAGCCCUAUUGGGUUAUCUUGGAAAUAACAAAUAAGGCAAAGGUUGUACAAUGUACAAGCUGCACUUGUUUGGUUUUGAUACUCUUGAAUGGUUCAUUGUAAUUGUGCCUGCUGUCAUUUGCAUCAUACAACCUUUUGUAUUUUGCCUGCUAUCAUUUGACCUCUAGGAAAACGGAGGGAGAUGAAUUGGGCAGAAACCUGAUGUCAUGGAGGUUUGCUCAUGACCGUUGGUGUGGUGAUGUUUAGUCACCGGAAACAAUUCUUGAGCAUGAGUCUGUAUUUUGUUUCCUUAUUCAACAUAGCAGUGUGGAAGCAAGAGAAAACUUAUUACUAAAUCAAUUAUCAUUCUAAUUACAGCCGUAUCUUAUGGCUUGGUCAUUUGAAUUACUGCAUAUCUAUUCCAUACUCGUGAGCAAAAGCUCUGGUUAAAAUGCAUAAUUGGUAAAUUACACUGCCCUGGUACACGACAAUGUUAGUUUCAGGACCAUGCUUUUUGCUGCUGGUGUGGUAUAUAACUGUGAUGGUAUAUAUCUUACAAAGUGUUUCUGACUCGUUCUUCUCAGACAUAGUUUUUGUUUAUUUAUUUGCUGGAGGCGGCCGCGUUGCCGCCCAUGGACAUCACUGGAGGAGGCGCGGAAGACGGGCUCCGACUCCUCGGAUUCAGACGAGGAAGGAGACGCCGUCGACGAGCUACGCAUCCAGGCCCUGGAGCGCACCAUGUUGGAGCAGCCUCUCGACUACGAUUCCCAUGUUCAGCCAGAUAGCUGCAAUUAGUGAAGAACAAGAUAGCUUAUGGAAGGACCAUGCUAUAUUGCUACUUUGACUAAAUAAAAAUUCAUGGAUGCAGAUGCUAGAGACAUACAAGGACUACAUUUCUUCAAACUCUGCUGGUUUUUAGUCCUUAAGCUACUCCAAACAGUAGAUCCACGAACUUUGUAGCCCUUAAAAAUGUGAAUGAUAUAUCAAGGAAGUGCCUGCUCCAGUGCUGACUAGGGGCCAGUUCUUUUCGCCCUAUAAUUCUGGAGAAUUACGAUUCUGGAAACUGCCCACAGAAUCGUCUGCCCAUAGAAUUGUCUGUCCAGUUCUUUUCUAUAAUUCUAACAUGUAAUUGUUGUAUGAAGUCGCUCGGUCGAGCUGGCCCAGUGACAUAUUGGCUGUAAUUUGAGUCCUCAAUAGGGGUAGUAGUUCAAACCGAACAGUUUUCUUUUGAGGGCCCGGCUAGAAUUGCCAGAAUUGCCGAGUUUCCACGAUUCUCAAAUACACUAGCGAUUCUGAUAAUUCUCGGAUGAUUCCUGGGGAAGAAACGAGUUCUUUUGCGAUUGUGAUUCUCCGGGCAGUAAUUCUUCAAAAUUGAGCCAAAAGAACUGGGCCUAGGAAAAUUAGAUAGAGCUUUGAUACUCCUAUUUCUGUUCCCACCACGAACUCUACAACACUAAGGCCAAAUUUUAUAUUGAUCCUUUGCGUAUUUUUCUUCAUGUAUAAUUUCCAGUGCUGACAGCAGAAACUAAUCUGAUCCAUCAAGCAAUUAUAAAAUAUCAUGGGAAUAUUUCAUCAGGCACCACCAAACUAACAAUUCUUCACUUGACACUUUCAGAGCUUGUCAUUGAGUGUAUGACUGUUUUAUAACUGAAUAAGAUUUGCUUUUCAUCCACUGCAUUAUAUGAUAAUCCUGUAAUCUACAACCUAAAUUCUAUUAUUAUUUGCUUUACUUUCAACUUUCAUCAUUUACUUUAACAUCUCGCUUAGUGCAAUCUUCUUUUCUUUAGCUUUGCUUUUCCAUUUAACUUCACAAACAUUUUAUUCUGACCACGCAAAUUGAGAGCAUCCUCCUCUAUUUAGCUCGGCGGGGCCAACGCCACCAUCCUCACCGACGUCCAGCAAGCGCCAUGCAACUAAUGGUGUUGCUGCCAUGACGACGCCUGCCUCCAUGCUGAUCGAGCUUUUCGACCUGCCCGGAAUGGACAAGGUCAUUUGGGCAUCUGUUUUUUAUGUGCUAUUUGCUCUCUUUUUAUAAGGAGUGUAGCUACAUGAUCAAAUUUGUAUGCGCACUGUAGUUCUAUGUUGUAUCUUUCUUUCUGAAGAAGCGACAAUAUGCUCUUGUCAGUGUUAUUUUAUUGCUA
Triticum urartu is the source of this 4282-nucleotide non-coding RNA. The record is from RefSeq and is a predicted model, not a curated record. NCBI's taxonomy places the organism in Eukaryota, Viridiplantae, Streptophyta, Magnoliopsida, Poales, Poaceae.